Molecule: ribosomal RNA, 332 nt
Filed under: uncultured eukaryote
Lineage: Eukaryota
Description: partial 18S ribosomal RNA
Rfam family: Eukaryotic small subunit ribosomal RNA
Source: RNAcentral
CCCUUAGAUGUUCUAGGCUGCACACGUGCUACACUGGCAGGUUCAGCGAGCUUCAUGCCCUGAUCUGAAAGGAAUGGGAAAUCUUUUCAAAACCUGCCGUGCUUGGGAUAGAUGUUUGCAAUUAUUCAUCUUCAACGAGGAUUGCCUUGUAAGCGCACGUCAUCAGCGUGCAUUGAAUACGACCCUGUAUUCUGUACACACCGCCCGUCGCUCCUACCGAUUGAAGUUUUCGGUGAGUUGACAGGAGGAUUUUUUUGAAACUGGUUCGCCAGUGGAUUUUAGAUCCAAAUGCCAACGAAUCGAUGGCUUUAGAGGAAGGAGAAGUCGUAACA